AACGAACGCUGGCGGCAUGCCUAACACAUGCAAGUCGAACGGGAUCCGGACUUCGGUCCGGUGAGAGUGGCGGACGGGUGAGUAACACGUGGGAACCUGCCUUUUGGUUCGGGAUAACCGCGGGAAACUGCGGCUAAUACCGGAUGCUCCCGAGAGGGAAAAGAUUUAUCGCCAGAAGAGGGGCCCGCGUCCGGUUAGGUAGUUGGUGGGGUAAUGGCCUACCAAGCCGACGAUCGGUAGCUGGUCUGAGAGGAUGAUCAGCCACACUGGGACUGAGAUACGGCCCAGACUCCUACGGGAGGCAGCAGUGGGGAAUAUUGGACAAUGGGGGCAACCCUGAUCCAGCAAUGCCGCGUGAGUGAUGAAGGCCUUAGGGUUGUAAAGCUCUUUUGCCAGGGAAGAUGAUGACUGUACCUGGAGAAUAAGCCCCGGCUAACUUCGUGCCAGCAGCCGCGGUAAU
Molecule: ribosomal RNA, 460 nt
Filed under: uncultured bacterium
Lineage: Bacteria
Description: bacterial SSU rRNA
Rfam family: Bacterial small subunit ribosomal RNA
Source: RNAcentral